UGGGGAAUAUUGGACAAUGGGCGCAAGCCUGAUCCAGCCAUGCCGCGUGGGUGAAGAAGGCCCUAGGGUUGUAAAUCCCUUUCAGCGGGGAAGAUGAUGACGGUACCCGCAGAAGAAGCCCCGGCUAACUCCGUGCCAGCAGCCGCGGUAAUACGAAAGGGGCUAGCGUUGUUCGGAAUUACUGGGCGUAAAGCGCGCGUAGGCGGACUAUUAAGUCAGGGGUGAAAUCCCGGGGCUCAACCCCGGAACUGCCCUUGAUACUGGUAGUCUUGAGUUCGAGAGAGGUGAGUGGAAUUCCGAGUGUAGAGGUGAAAUUCGUAGAUAUUCGGAGGAACACCAGUGGCGAAGGCGGCUCACUGGCUCGAUACUGACGCUGAGGUGCGAAAGCGUGGGGAGCAAACAGGAUUAGAUACCCGUGUAGUCC
Molecule: ribosomal RNA, 424 nt
Filed under: uncultured prokaryote
Description: bacterial SSU rRNA
Rfam family: Bacterial small subunit ribosomal RNA
Source: RNAcentral